CCUCUUUUUUGUCAUUCAAAGAAAAAAUGAAGGCGUCAAAUCCAGAUUCUAUCUGCGUCUCUUGUCCCCUUCACUACAUUUUCGGCUUCUUGAGAAAACCGCAAAUUGUAUGCCACCCAUGCUGGAUUCAGAAGAUUGUCCAAAUUUCGAAUAUCUGAAAAUUACAUUUUAAUAAUAUUAUCUCGAAUAUGUUAUAUCUUAAUGCAAAUUUUAUUUUUUUGUUUUAUAAAUAAAUAUUAAAUUUGU
This is a non-coding RNA of Caenorhabditis elegans, 246 nucleotides long. Ensembl annotates it as ncRNA. Its record names the gene anr-22. Lineage: Eukaryota; Metazoa; Nematoda; Chromadorea; Rhabditida; Rhabditidae. The record is from Ensembl.